AGUGAACGCUGGCGGUAGGCCUAACACAUGCAAGUCGAACGGCAGCACAGUAAGAGCUUGCUCUUACGGGUGGCGAGUGGCGGACGGGUGAGGAAUACAUCGGAAUCUACUUUUUCGUGGGGGAUAACGUAGGGAAACUUACGCUAAUACCGCAUGCGACCUACGGGUGAAAGCAGGGGAUCUUCGGACCUUGCGCGAUUGAAUGAGCCGAUGUCGGAUUAGCUAGUUGGCGGGGUAAAGGCCCACCAAGGCGACGAUCCGUAGCUGGUCUGAGAGGAUGAUCAGCCACACUGGAACUGAGACACGGUUCAGACUCCUACGGGAGGCAGCAGUGGGGAAUAUUGGACAAUGGGCGCAAGCCUGAUCCAGCCAUACCGCGUGGGUGAAGAAGGCCUUCGGGUUGUAAAGCCCUUUUGUUGGGAAAGAAAAGCAGCAGGUUAAUACCCCGCUGUUCUGACGGUACCCAAAGAAUAAGCACCGGCUAACUUCGUG
Molecule: ribosomal RNA, 492 nt
Filed under: uncultured bacterium
Lineage: Bacteria
Description: partial 16S ribosomal RNA
Rfam family: Bacterial small subunit ribosomal RNA
Source: RNAcentral